Molecule: ribosomal RNA, 765 nt
Filed under: uncultured bacterium
Lineage: Bacteria
Description: bacterial SSU rRNA
Rfam family: Bacterial small subunit ribosomal RNA
Source: RNAcentral
CAGUCGAACGAAGCACUUAUCUUUGAUUCUUCGGAUGAAGAGGUUUGUGACUGAGUGGCGGACGGGUGAGUAACGCGUGGGUAACCUGCCUCAUACAGGGGGAUAACAGUUAGAAAUGACUGCUAAUACCGCAUAAGACCACAGAGCCGCAUGGCUCAGUGGGAAAAACUCCGGUGGUAUGAGAUGGACCCGCGUCUGAUUAGGUAGUUGGUGGGGUAACGGCCUACCAAGCCAACGAUCAGUAGCCGACCUGAGAGGGUGACCGGCCACAUUGGGACUGAGACACGGCCCAAACUCCUACGGGAGGCAGCAGUGGGGAAUAUUGCACAAUGGGGGAAACCCUGAUGCAGCGACGCCGCGUGAGCGAAGAAGUAUUUCGGUAUGUAAAGCUCUAUCAGCAGGGAAGAAAAUGACGGUACCUGACUAAGAAGCACCGGCUAAAUACGUGCCAGCAGCCGCGGUAAUACGUAUGGUGCAAGCGUUAUCCGGAUUUACUGGGUGUAAAGGGAGCGUAGACGGCUGUGUAAGUCUGAAGUGAAAGCCCGGGGCUCAACCCCGGGACUGCUUUGGAAACUAUGCAGCUAGAGUGUCGGAGAGGUAAGUGGAAUUCCCAGUGUAGCGGUGAAAUGCGUAGAUAUUGGGAGGAACACCAGUGGCGAAGGCGGCUUACUGGACGAUGACUGACGUUGAGGCUCGAAAGCGUGGGGAGCAAACAGGAUUAGAUACCCUGGUAGUCCACGCCGUAAACGAUGACUACUAGGUGUC